CUUGAAGUUGAAUGAUAGGCUGUUCUUGGAGGCUGUUGAUGAAACCGAGGGCCUUCAUCAAAUCCUUCACAAAUUAUCUCUCCACUUUCAUCUCUGUAACAAAUUAUGCCCUCAGAUUGAUUCUCAAAGACCGUGUUCUCUGACUUGAAGUGUAGGGGCUUUCUUGAGUGGAAUUUUACUCUGUUUAAGCAUCAUGGUUUUGCUUUUAGGCUUUAUAACUGGACCAGAAUUUUGAGCUAGGAUAUGAGGAGAAGAAAAGCUUGCUACAGCCAUUGAUCGUAUGCAAGAAGAAGAAGAAAGAAAUGGAAGAAAAGAAGGUUGGUUUGAUCUUUGGUGGGAGUGUUUAGCAAGGCAGGAAUAGAAUAAUGGGAAGAUUACAAAUUUUUUAGGCUGAAUUGGAUAUAAAC
Molecule: unclassified non-coding RNA, 407 nt
Filed under: Hevea brasiliensis (rubber tree)
Lineage: Eukaryota; Viridiplantae; Streptophyta; Magnoliopsida; Malpighiales; Euphorbiaceae
Source: RNAcentral